GGCGGGUUAGCUCAGUUGGUAGAGCGCCUGCCUUGCACGCAGGAAGUCAGCGGUUCGAGUCCGCUUACCUCCA
This 73-nucleotide transfer RNA is filed under the name Nostoc sp. HG1. RNAcentral's name for it is "tRNA-Ala". It matches the Rfam family "tRNA". From Rfam's summary of the family: Transfer RNA (tRNA) molecules are approximately 80 nucleotides in length. Their secondary structure includes four short double-helical elements and three loops (D, anti-codon, and T loops). Further hydrogen bonds mediate the characteristic L-shaped molecular structure. tRNAs have two regions of fundamental functional importance: the anti-codon, which is responsible for specific mRNA codon recognition, and the 3' end, to which the tRNAs corresponding amino acid is attached (by aminoacyl-tRNA synthetases). tRNAs cope with the degeneracy of the genetic code in two manners: having more than one tRNA (with a specific anti-codon) for a particular amino acid; and 'wobble' base-pairing, i.e. permitting non-standard base-pairing at the 3rd anti-codon position. Lineage: Bacteria; Bacillati; Cyanobacteriota; Cyanophyceae; Nostocales; Nostocaceae. The record is from RNAcentral.